GGACUACUAGGGUUUCUAAUCCUGUUUGCUCCCCACGCUUUCGCGUCUCAGCGUCAGUACCGUCCCAGCGAGCUGCCUUCGCCAUUGGUGUUCCUCCUGAUAUCUGCGCAUUUCACCGCUACACCAGGAAUUCCACUCGCCUCUUCCGGACUCGAGCCUGACAGUUUCCACCGGCAUUCCAGGGUUGAGCCCUGGACUUUCACAGCGGACUUACCAGGCCGCCUACACGCUCUUUACGCCCAAUGAUUCCGGACAACGCUUGCCCCCUACGUAUUACCGCGGCGGCUGGCAC
This 292-nucleotide ribosomal RNA is filed under the name uncultured bacterium. RNAcentral's name for it is "partial 16S ribosomal RNA". The record is from RNAcentral.